Cyprinus carpio (common carp) is the source of this 1503-nucleotide long non-coding RNA. NCBI's taxonomy places the organism in Eukaryota, Metazoa, Chordata, Actinopteri, Cypriniformes, Cyprinidae. The record is from Ensembl.
AUUUCUUACUCAUUUUCUUACUUUGUUUCUUAGUCUAUUGUCUAUACAUGUUUCUUUACCCAAAUAACAAAGAGUUCUGUCUUGUCUUAAAGCUCAUAAGGACCUGCAGCGGUCUAAGGCUUUGGAGCACAGUGAUUGGCUGAGGGGCGUGGCUUCACGUCAGCACUUCCUGUACAUACAGAUUGUCAAUAAGAAGGUGACUCUGUACACGUAUAACUGGUCAGUGGAUCUGGGCGUCUCUGAAUCAGGGUCUGGUCAGACUGGUGCAGUGGCAGAACGCCAGCGCACAUGUGGUCAACUGCCUCCUCAGACAGAAAAUGGUCCUUUUCCAUCCUUACUGCUUCUCUGUUACACCUACACAUGAGGACCUGAAACAGCCGUGUGUUAAUCGUUGGUCUUGAGGAAAGGCCCUCAUGCUGGCGGGAUCUCUGCGUGUCAGUGAGUUUAACACUGAUGAACAUGCACUGCACGUUUCUGAGAAGUUUGACAUCACAUCUCCGAGUGUGUGAGUGAGUUUGUGAAGGCUUAUAUGAGAUUAAUCUUUCUUUCUUUCUUUCUUUCUUUCUUUCUUUCUUUCUUUCUUUCUUUCUUUCUUUCUUUCUUUCUUUCUUUCUUUCUUUCUUUCCAUACUUUGGUAUGAAAAUGCCUAAACAAAAGUAACAGUAUAAAUUAAAUAACAAACAGUAAAACACACACACACACAAAAAAAUAGUAUGAAAAAGUGUGAAAAGACAAUUAUUAAGAAGAAGAGAAGAGAAUUGUGGCUUAAUUGUAAUUGUGAACCUCUGAAAGAGAGCAUGUGAUUUAUUUAGAGAUGUUUCUUGUGUGCUGCAGAGCUGGAGAGACGGAUGAAGACUGAGAAUCUGUUUGUGACGUGGCAGCAGCGCUCGGCUCAGUCCAGCUUGCCCAUCUCUAAUCCUGAAAAAAAAUCAGGGAUCCAUUACUGUAGCACUCCGCUGCUCUUUGACCCCGUCUUCCGGAAACAGAUUCAAGAGGAACAGCUGCCUCAGCCACAGAUGAAGGUCUGUCUCUCUUCCUCUUCCUCAUCCUGCAGAGUCUGUCUGCUGGCUCACACUGCAGUGAACCCAUUUACACACACACACACACACACACACACACACACACACACACAAAAAAAAGUGUUAGGAUAAUUAAUUAGGAUAAAUGAAUAUUAAUAAUAAUAACUAUAAGUAUGAAGCAUAUAAUUCCAUUGUUAGUGCAUGAUAUUUCUUUUUUGUUUUAUUUAUUUUUUUGUUGUUAUUAUUUUUAUUAUUAUUUGUUAUUAUUGAACCAUUAUUACAGUUGUUGUUUUAUUUUUCAUGUAAUUAAUUUUAAUGUAAUAUUAAUUCAUGUAUUAUAAAUAAUAUUAUUAAUUAUAAUUUUAUUAUAAUAGAAUUGGUUUAUUUAUUGUAUAUAUAGUCAUAAUUGUUAAAAAAUAUAUAUAUAUUUUGAUUAAUCAGAACUGUGAACCAUAUAAUUAUAUUACGAGUGCAUAAGAUUUAU